Molecule: ribosomal RNA, 252 nt
Filed under: uncultured bacterium
Lineage: Bacteria
Description: partial 16S ribosomal RNA
Rfam family: Bacterial small subunit ribosomal RNA
Source: RNAcentral
GACGUAAGGCGCGAGCGUUGUCCGGAUUAUUGGGCGUAAAGAGCUCGUAGGCGGCUUGUCGCGUCGACUGUGAAAUCCCGCGGCUCAACUGCGGGUCUGCAGUCGAUACGGGCAGGCUAGAGUUCGGUAGGGGAGACUGGAAUUCCUGGUGUAGCGGUGAAAUGCGCAGAUAUCAGGAGGAACACCGAUGGCGAAGGCAGGUCUCUGGGCAGUAACUGACGCUGAGGAGCGAAAGCGUGGGGAGCGAACAGG